UGGCGGUGCUUUAGACCACUCAGGGGAACCUGUCUCGUAAUCGACAAUCCACGAUACACCUAACCUUUUAUAGUUAUCAGUAUGUAUACCGUCGUCGUCAGGUAACUUUCAAAAAGAAAAAAGUUAGCAACAGCAAAUUAUAAUUUCAAACGUCAGAUCAAGGUGCAGCUAAUAAAAAGGUGAAGAUGGGUUACAAUUAAAAUUUAUAAUACGAAUUUAAAUCUGAAAUAUUUGGUUUUUUGAAGGCGGACUGAAAGUAAAAAUAAAAAGAUAAAUUUUUGAAUGCGG
RNAcentral lists this ribosomal RNA (288 nucleotides) under Provanna macleani. RNAcentral's name for it is "partial 12S ribosomal RNA". The record is from RNAcentral. Lineage: Eukaryota; Metazoa; Mollusca; Gastropoda; Provannidae.